CCUAGGCUCGUGUCGCUGGUGCUUAGCGCCCCACUUAAGGCACCCGGGCUAUGUGCAGCACUCAAAUGGCGCCUCAGUCACCCCAAAAGGCAAGCAAGCAUGAUUCUUCAGGAAACUGGCGCUCAGUGCCCCAAAAGGGGUGCCCAGGCGGUGGGCGGCACUCUUUGGCGCUGAAGGCUCCUCAAAGGGUGCCCAAGCUUCUUGUGUUC
This 209-nucleotide long non-coding RNA is filed under the name Vigna radiata. Its description in RNAcentral is "long non-coding RNA (VRAD_LNC012861)". The record is from RNAcentral. Lineage: Eukaryota; Viridiplantae; Streptophyta; Magnoliopsida; Fabales; Fabaceae.